Molecule: long non-coding RNA, 2092 nt
Organism: Amphiprion ocellaris (clown anemonefish)
Lineage: Eukaryota; Metazoa; Chordata; Actinopteri; Pomacentridae
Source: Ensembl
GGCUUUUUGUCCAGGUGGGUAGUCGUACCUGAUCACAGGAUUCCUGCCUGACGCCAGCUCCUAGCACGGCUGAAGUCAAAUGAUGGCACCGUGGCGCUUCGGCUGAUUCUACCAGCAGACACUGAAAGGGCUCUUAUAGUUCACACGAGUCGGAUUCACGGUUGUGGCCCUACGUCUACCCCAGUAAAUACUCAGAAGCUCCAAAACUACAGGAAGAGGAAAGGUGGAAGGACGAGAGGGAGCGAAAACGAGACAGGAAAGGGAAAGAAGAGAGGCUACGACCAAAGGAGGGACUCCAGAAAGAGGAGGGGAAGGAUGGCCAAGAGGGCAGGACACAGCUGCCCCUGGAGGAGCACCGAGGGGAAGGGAAGGAGCCACGACCCCCCCACAUACAGUUUCCAUCUUCUUUGGCUCAGCACCAGGGAUACAUGCAAUACAUGCAUGGACUUUAUGCCUACAGCCAGGGCUACGAGCCCAGCCACCCUGGGUACAGAAGCAUGCCCUCGGGUGUGAUGCAAAAUUAUCCAGGCUCAUACCUACCGACGGGUUACUCCUUUCCCUCAUAUGGAGGAAAGGUGGCAGUGGGUGAGGAUGGGGAGAAACCCUCUAGGUCCAGUCCAACGAUGAAGCCGGCCAGUGAGGCCAAAGCUCUGGACUUACUACAGCAGCAUGCCAGCUAGUACAAAAGCAAAUCCCCAUCCGUCCAAGACGACAAGACCCCACAUGACCGAGACAGGGAGAGAGAAGGCGACCGGCCGCAAUCCUCACCCUCUCAGCGCAUCCUGCCUGCCCAUCAUCAUUUGGGAUACCCUUUGCUGUCAGGACAGUAUGAUCCGUCCUACACCUCAGGCCUCUCCUCCUCAGCCAUUGUUGCCAGUCAGCAAGCAUCUGCCCCAUCUAUGUACCCUCCUGCACGAAGGUGAGAAUGGUAAGAUAAACACACUUUCGUAUUAGAUUGUUAUACUCUUAAACAGUAUUUUAAUUUACUUUAUUAUAUUCACACUCGAACACACCUAAACUUGUCUAUGCUUAUAACAUUAAAAGCUGACCUCUCCAAUUUCUAUCCAUCUUACUUAAACAACUCUGUAAUCUAGUUAGAACAAGUGCAGUGACCACAAAUGUUUGUCAUCUGUGUGAUUCAGAAUUUGCUGAAGCAGACAUGUAUCACUUCGGUCUAGUUGACUCGAGUGCCUUUAUUCCGAUGUUACAGUACAAUAGCACCAUCUAGGGGUAUGAAAUCAGUAUCUCAGUGUAGCUGAGUGGCAGUAUGGUCUGUAUGUCAUAUUGUUGGCUGUUGGGAAUUGUUGGAAAAAAUAGUAUAUAAUUCGUAUAUAAACAACCUGCUUGUGUGUACUUGCAUACAAGUACUGUACAUCAAGAACACCUAAGGACUGGACUGAGUAACUUAAAUGCUAAACAUAUCUCUGGCCAAUUAAACCAAGGUUUCUGCAGAACUAAAACGGAAGUGAAAUUAUUCUUAUAUUGUUUUUAACAAUUGGUGGACAUUCCAGUUGUUAUUUGAUGGCAGUGCAAGGUUACAUGUACUUGCAAGUGGAACUUCCUGGAACUUUUAUCCUCAAAAAAGGACAAAUAGUCACGCUCACAUUCACACCUAUGGACAAUUUGGAAUCACCAAUUAACCUCAGCAUGUUUUUAGACUGUGGGAGGAAGCUGAAGUACCAGGAGAAAACCCACAUAGGAGAACACACAAACUCCACACAGGACCUUCUAGCUGUGAGGCAACAUUACUAAACACACUACCACCACAUAAUGCAAGAGCUGUAAAAUCCAAACAACUUACAGAUGGCUGUAUGGUUGAAUUAGUUACUGGGAAUGAUUUUAUUGCCUAUUCUUCAGUACCGAUGAGGGUUUUUUUCAUGUAGUCUUGGGCAAAGUCUAAACCAAAAGCUUACGUUUUAAUUUUAAAAUAAUCUCCAUCCAAAUGUCAUUUAGUACCAUUUUAGAAAUCAUCUCCAUGCAUACAUACCUGUAAAUACUUAUCAUAUGACUAUUCGUGUACACUAAGCAUGCAGGUACUUGUAUGCAAAUGAAGCUUAUUUUGAGAAAAUAUUAUAAAGGACAAACAGCAAUG